This 497-nucleotide ribosomal RNA is filed under the name uncultured bacterium. Its description in RNAcentral is "partial 16S ribosomal RNA". It matches the Rfam family "Bacterial small subunit ribosomal RNA", at positions 28 to 507 of the family's 1533-position model. The record is from RNAcentral.
GAUGAACGCUGGCGGCGUGCCUAAUACAUGCAAGUCGAGCGAACAGACGAGGAGCUUGCUCCGCUAUCGUUAGCGGCGGACGGGUGAGUAACACGUGGAUAACCUACCUAUAAGACUGGGAUAACUUCGGGAAACCGGAGCUAAUACCGGAUAAUAUAUUGAACCGCAUGGUUCAAUAGUGAAAGACGGUGUUGCUGUCACUUAUAGAUGGAUCCGCGCCGCAUUAGCUAGUUGGUAAGGUAACGGCUUACCAAGGCAACGAUGCGUAGCCGACGUGAGAGGGUGAUCGGCCACACGAGAGCUGAGACAGGGUCCAGGCUCCUACGGGAGGCAGCAGUAGGGAAUCGUCCGCAAUGGGCGAAAGCCUGACGGAGCAGCGGCGAGUGAGUGAUGAAGGUCUUCGGCUCGUAAAGCUCUGUUAUUAGGGAAGAACAGAUGUGUAAGUAACUAUACACGUCUUGACGGUACCUAAUCAGAAAGCCACGGCUAACUACGUG